GGAUGUGGAGGUGACCUGGCAGCAAUAUGUGUCACCACAUUGGUCACCAGGGUUGAUUUGGCCAAUCUGGCUGGCCAAGUGUGUGUCCCUUUCCUCCCUCAACACUCCAUGUGUGCCUCUCCCAAAGCUGCCUACUCAAGCAAAAAGGAUGACCACCCUUGAGAGAAGAGGAUGUUCCUUCAUCAAGAGUAUAUGAGUAGCUCCAUUCUCUCCCACUAUAAUCUCCAAACAAGACCCCAAGAUGUUCUGAACAACAUUUUAGAAAGAGAUAAAGAAGACUGCAAUCCCAAAAACAUCAAUAGAAAU
This 306-nucleotide small nuclear RNA is filed under the name Octodon degus (degu). Its description in RNAcentral is "7SK RNA (ENSODEG00000023624.1)". It matches the Rfam family "7SK RNA". Rfam says of the family: 7SK was discovered as an abundant small nuclear RNA in the mid-70s but a possible function has only recently been suggested. Two independent studies have found that 7SK RNA binds the CDK9/cyclin T complex (known as elongation factor P-TEFb). P-TEFb activates transcription by phosphorylating the C-terminal domain of RNA polymerase II. The record is from Rfam by way of RNAcentral. Lineage: Eukaryota; Metazoa; Chordata; Mammalia; Rodentia; Octodontidae.